ACGGAAGGCAGCAGUGAGGAAUAUUGGUCAAUGGGCGAGAGCCUGAACUAGCCAAGUCGCGUGAGGGAAGACGGCCCUAUGGGUUGUAAACCUCUUUUGCCGGGGGAUAAAGUCUGGGAUGCGUCCCAGUUUGCAGGUACCCGGUGAAUAAGGAUCGGCUAACUCCGUGCCAGCAGCCGCGGUAAUACGGAGGAUCCGAGUGUUAUCCGGAUUUAUUGGGUUUAAAGGGUGCGCAGGCGGUGGAUCAAGUCAGUGGUGAAAUGGUGCGGCUCAACCGUAGCAUUGCCGUUGAAACUGGUUCACUUGAGUGCGGACGAGGCAGGCGGAAUGUGUUGUGUAGCGGUGAAAUGCUUAGAUAUCAUGAAGAACUCCGAUUGCGAAGGCAGCUGUCCGGGGUGUAACUGACGCUAAUGCUCGAAAGUGCGGGUAUCAAACAGGAUUAGAUACCCUGGUA
Molecule: ribosomal RNA, 454 nt
Filed under: uncultured Bacteroides sp.
Lineage: Bacteria; Pseudomonadati; Bacteroidota; Bacteroidia; Bacteroidales; Bacteroidaceae
Description: partial 16S ribosomal RNA
Rfam family: Bacterial small subunit ribosomal RNA
Source: RNAcentral